This is a long non-coding RNA of Cervus hanglu yarkandensis (Yarkand deer), 2104 nucleotides long. The record is from Ensembl. NCBI's taxonomy places the organism in Eukaryota, Metazoa, Chordata, Mammalia, Artiodactyla, Cervidae.
GUGGGUGGGGGUUUUCCGCAGCCCCUUCCUCCGGCGUCCCCGAAGCCGUCUUUCCCAGUCCCGCCUCCCACCGGACACCACCCAGGUGGUGUAGGCGCGGGUGGCCGCUCAGCCACGGGAGGGCAGCAGCGGCCCUUUCCUGACCCCACCCCGGGCGCCUCUGAACUUUCCCGACCCCGGUCCGCCCGUAAGAGCUGGAAUGUGGCGCUGAGGCAGAGUCUUCCCGGGUCCAGAUCGCCGCGCCUAGCCCCGCCGCGCGCUUCUCCGCAGUCCAGGCAUUUCCCGGACCCUGAGGGCCAGCGCUGGGCUACCCGCUGGGGCCGUGGGCGGGGGCCGGGGGCGGGCGGAGCCAAGAGCCGCCCGGCCCGCCCCUCCCGGCCAGUCGCCCCUCCCCGCCGCGGCGCUGGAGGAGGGCGGGGCGGCGGGGCGGCGGGGCCCCGCGGGUCAGUCUCUGCCUCCCGCACCCGCAGCGCAGCUGGAAGCGGCGGAGCGGAAGGUGUCCGAGUCGAAGUCCGUUCCCUUCUGUCGGCUUCCCAGAACCUGCUCGGCAGGGCGAGGAGGAGAGGGGGCAACUUGGGUCUCCGCGAGGGAGCUCCCGCGCAGAUGCUUAGCUCUCAGGUCUGGCGGCCCGCGGUGGACCUUGGCUGGGGUGUGAGUUGGGGCCCGAGUCCGGCUUGAGGUGGGAAUUCCCCCCCCGCCGGGCCUGUGAAGUGGCAGGAAUAAGGGUGGGGUGUGACCGCGGGGGCUGCCACUGCUCCGGGGGUCUGGACCUCGCCCAGGAUGGUUUCUGGAGCCGGCCUGGAGUGGAGGUACGGGAAAUUGGGAAGGAUCCAAGCCGUGUGUGUGUGUGUGUGUGUGUGUGUGUGUGUGUGUGUAUCUAUCUGUUGCUUCCUUCACACUCCCCAACCUGUCUAAAGAGUAUCCUGGGAGUUUGGCCUGGGGGACCCAAGGCCAAGUCACUUCUGGGUUUCAAGUCGAGGAGGAGGUAUCUGAUUUCUUCCCUAGACAUCAGGGGUGGUCAUCAGGAUACAUCAGCCCCUGGUUCAUCUGGAAAGCUUGAGAAUGAUUGAGGAACUGUUUUAUCCCAGGGAAGGCCCCAAGAGUUCGACUCAUACCAGGUCCUCUGGGGUUUGGUUGCCCCUCUUGGAGUCAGUGGGGCAGUUGCUCAGGGGUUGCCUCUCACAGGGAGCUGUUGUCGUUACUGUCUUGGCCUUGGGCCUGGCGGCCUGGCCUGGGUCUAGGACUCCUCUGAGCCUGAAGGGAAAGUCUUAAUUGAGCUGGGGGAGGGUGUGCUCCAGAUCAUUCCAGCAGGCCCCUGCCCUGGAGUUCUGGCCUCUGACCCGCACGAUCUGGUGCUACCUACACUGCCCUGCUGGGGUGGGAGAGCGUAGUGGCAAACUCAGAGCUAGGCAACUGGUAUUCACCCUGGUGGUGGAUGCCCUCCAUCUGUCCAUCAAUGCUGCCUGUCCCAGAUUGGGGCUACCACAGCCUGUCUUCCCUCAGUUGGACCAAUGGAACUUGUGGGAAUAUGAGAGGGAGUUGGUCACUUGGGUAGAAUUUUCAGGAGACCUCCUUUUCUGAAGGAUGGUUUUUCUUUGUGGAGGAAAUCAGCUGGCAGGGUGAAUGCCUUCUUGCUUGCCUUUUGGGGUAUCAGAGGGUGUUAGAGAGUGGCCGUGUGCUCAACUCCUAUAAAUUCCGUCUGAUUCACAUCCGCUUCCCCUCAUCCCAGUGUUGUGCAUGUGUGUGUGGAGGAGAGGGAGGCCACCCGGGAUCCCACUGUUGAAGAGAACUUGCCUUGGGCUGUAAUAUUCGCUUCCUAAAAGGCAGGGCUGGGCUGUGAGGUGGUGGUGGUGGUGUGUAGGGAGUGCGGGAGCUCAGCCUAGUUUGACAGGAUGUGGGACUGAGAGAAAAAGCCAGGUUUGGGGCAGAGAUCAGGUUACUGUCCCCUUCUUUCUUAACCACUCCCUGUGUGGCUGGCGCUGGAAUUGGCCUUCAUUGGUCUCCCUUUUGGAGUUCCUCCCAGCGCCGGCCCCGGCUCCCGCUCGCUCCUCCCCACAGCCUCGAUUUCAUCUCAGGCCCGAAGCCCGCCCUCUCUUCCCCCCAG